RNAcentral lists this ribosomal RNA (541 nucleotides) under Alternaria sp. YLM3. RNAcentral describes it as "eukaryotic LSU rRNA". The stretch from base 208 to 361 matches the Rfam family "5.8S ribosomal RNA". The record is from RNAcentral. Lineage: Eukaryota; Fungi; Ascomycota; Dothideomycetes; Pleosporales; Pleosporaceae.
AACUACAAGGUCUCCGUAGGUGAACCUGCGGAGGGAUCAUUACACAAAUAUGAAGGCGGGCUGGAACCUCUCGGGGUUACAGCCUUGCUGAAUUAUUCACCCUUGUCUUUUGCGUACUUCUUGUUUCCUUGGUGGGUUCGCCCACCACUAGGACAAACAUAAACCUUUUGUAAUUGCAAUCAGCGUCAGUAACAAAUUAAUAAUUACAACUUUCAACAACGGAUCUCUUGGUUCUGGCAUCGAUGAAGAACGCAGCGAAAUGCGAUAAGUAGUGUGAAUUGCAGAAUUCAGUGAAUCAUCGAAUCUUUGAACGCACAUUGCGCCCUUUGGUAUUCCAAAGGGCAUGCCUGUUCGAGCGUCAUUUGUACCCUCAAGCUUUGCUUGGUGUUGGGCGUCUUGUCUCUAGCUUUGCUGGAGACUCGCCUUAAAGUAAUUGGCAGCCGGCCUACUGGUUUCGGAGCGCAGCACAAGUCGCACUCUCUAUCAGCAAAGGUCUAGCAUCCAUUAAGCCUUUUUUCAACUUUGACCUCGAUCAGUACGU